UCGGGAAUUUUGGGCAAUGGGCGAAAGCCUGACCCAGCAACGCCGCGUGAAGGAUGAAGUAUUUCGGUAUGUAAACUUCGUAAGAAUAGGAAGAAUAAAUGACGGUACUAUUUGUAAGGUCCGGCUAACUACGUGCCAGCAGCCGCGGUAAUACGUAGGGACCAAGCGUUGUUCGGAUUUACUGGGCGUAAAGGGCGCGUAGGCGGCGUGGUAAGUCAUCUGUGAAAUCUCCGAGCUUAACUCGGAACGGUCAGAUGAUACUGCUGUGCUAGAGUACAGAAGGGGCAAUCGGAAUUCUUGGUGUAGCGGUGAAAUGCGUAGAUAUCGAGAGGAACACCUGAGGUGAAGACGGGUUGCUGGGCUGAUACUGACGCUGAGGCGCGAAAGCUAGGGUAGCAAACGGGAUUAGAUACCCAUGUAGUCCCUGAGCGGGCUGGCAAGGCGCAU
Molecule: ribosomal RNA, 447 nt
Filed under: uncultured bacterium
Lineage: Bacteria
Description: bacterial SSU rRNA
Rfam family: Bacterial small subunit ribosomal RNA
Source: RNAcentral